GUUAUUUCUCGUAUCGACAUGAUGCUGUCCAGUGCUUUUUGCAGCCUAUCAUAGCUUCGUUUCUGUCAAAGGAUAAGCAUAAACAGCAGAAAUAUGACAGGUUGACAAGAAAAAUAAAAAUGGUUAAAGGCCAAAGCCUUGGGAUCGAAAGGGUCAACCACUGAAGGAUAAGGAUCAAAUAUAAUGCUUUUACGAGAUGACUCCAGGGCAGCUCUGCACAUUGCUACCAGCAGGUCAACCACCUGCAUGAAAAUGAUCACACAGUCAGUUUGAUCAGACUGAUGGAGUUUCAGCAACACUGCUCACGGACACUCUGAGAGGCAGACGGGUUAAACAGGGUCAGCUGUGUCCUCCUCUGUCUCCUGAUAUCUCAGUGAUUUACCUGUCCUAACCAUCUUCACUCCCUUAUCCCCAUCCCUUCUUCAGCAGACGCUUGUAUCAACCAGCUUAAACAAUCUACUCAACUAGUGAUGAAGACUUUGCCAAGCACUUUAUGUUCAGAUCUGGUUUAGACUCUAUGACAAGGUCCAGCAUUACAGCCAGGACGAAGAUGAUGCUUAUUCAGGAAGAAUGGCUGAGUAAUCCUGAACCAUCCC
Long non-coding RNA from Tachysurus vachellii, 596 nucleotides. RefSeq lists it as uncharacterized. The transcript is spliced from 4 exons. The record is from RefSeq and is a predicted model, not a curated record. Lineage: Eukaryota; Metazoa; Chordata; Actinopteri; Siluriformes; Bagridae.